RNAcentral lists this ribosomal RNA (484 nucleotides) under uncultured bacterium. Its description in RNAcentral is "partial 16S ribosomal RNA". It matches the Rfam family "Bacterial small subunit ribosomal RNA", at positions 29 to 507 of the family's 1533-position model. The record is from RNAcentral.
AUUGAACGCUGGCGGAAUGCUUUACACAUGCAAGUCGAACGGCAGCACGGGGGCAACCCUGGUGGCGAGUGGCGAACGGGUGAGUAAUACAUCGGAACGUGCCCGGUCGUGGGGGAUAACGUAGCGAAAGUUACGCUAAUACCGCAUACGAUCUGAGGAUGAAAGCGGGGGACCUUCGGGCCUCGCGCGAUCGGAGCGGCCGAUGUCCGAUUAGGUAGUUGGUGGGGUAAAGGCCUACCAAGCCGACGAUCUGUAGCUGGUCUGAGAGGACGACCAGCCACACGGGGACUGAGACACGGCCCAGACUCCUACGGGAGGCAGCAGUGGGGAAUUUUGGACAAGGGGCGCAAGCCUGAUCCAGCCAUUCCGCGUGCAGGACGAAGGCCUUCGGGUUGUAAACUGCUUUUGUAUGGAACGAAAAGGCUCUGGCUAAUACCUGGGGCUCAUGACGGUACCGGAAGAAUAAGCACCGGCUAACUACGUG